Molecule: long non-coding RNA, 331 nt
Filed under: Elaeis guineensis (African oil palm)
Lineage: Eukaryota; Viridiplantae; Streptophyta; Magnoliopsida; Arecales; Arecaceae
Description: long non-coding RNA (EGUI_LNC033331)
Source: RNAcentral
ACUCGGCUUGAUUAUUUGAAGCUUUAAAGUUAAAUCGAAAGGCAUAUUUGGUUACAAUCCCUUCGAAAUUGAUGAGGAUGAGACCAGCUCCACUGCUUUGUGCAUUGGAUGCUCUAUCAAUAUGUAGCAUCCACACCAAUGUUAAGUCAGGCUCAGAAGUUUCAACUUGCUUUAAUUUAUCAUUGGAUUCAUCCUCAGAGUUAUUGUCAGAUAUAGUACACUCGACGAUGAAAUCAGUCAAAACUUAAGCCUUCAUCGAUGGUUGUGAGCGAUAUUGAAUAUCAAACUCAUUGAGUUUUAUUGUCUACUUCGUCAUUCAACUUGAAAUGUC